Molecule: ribosomal RNA, 330 nt
Filed under: uncultured bacterium
Lineage: Bacteria
Description: bacterial SSU rRNA
Rfam family: Bacterial small subunit ribosomal RNA
Source: RNAcentral
CGCGUAGGUGGUAGUGCAAGUCUGAGGUGGAAUCCCAGGGCUUAACCCUGGAACUGCCUUGGAAACUGCACUACUUGAGUCAGUGAGGGGAGGGUAGAAUUCCUGGUGUAGCGGUGAAAUGCGUAGAUAUCAGGAGGAAGGCCGGUGGCGAAGGCGGCCCUCUGGCGCUGAACUGACACUGAGGCGCGAAAGCGUGGGUAGCAAACAGGAUUAGAUACCCUGGUAGUCCACGCCCUAAACGGUGGGUACUAGGUGUAGGGCUCGUAAGGGUUCUGUGCCGAAGCGAAAGCAUUAAGUACCCCGCCUGGGGAGUACGGCCGCAGGGUUGAA